This is a long non-coding RNA of Mercurialis annua (annual mercury), 788 nucleotides long. RefSeq lists it as uncharacterized. Lineage: Eukaryota; Viridiplantae; Streptophyta; Magnoliopsida; Malpighiales; Euphorbiaceae. The record is from RefSeq and is a predicted model, not a curated record. The transcript is spliced from 2 exons.
UGAGCAGAAACCGAACCAGACCGAAAAACCGAACCGAACCGAACCGAAAUUUGUUGUUUGGUUCGGUUUUUUGGUUAAAACGGUUUGGUUCGGUGUUAGAUAAAUAGAAGUUUGGAGUUUGGUGUUCGGUUCGGUUUGAGAUUGUCAAAAACCGAAAUAACCGAAAAACCGAUAACACCGAACCAGUUAAAAUAGUGUCAUUUUGAGGUAUAAGGCCACAUGUAUAAUGGGUCUGAUUUGGUUUAUUUCUAUCACAAAAAUACCCCUAAACUUGACAUAUAUAAUACUCCUUAUAACUUUGAAACCCUAAUUCUCUCAUUUUUCACUCUACUGCGCCGUUCUCUCCUCUAUUCUUAAUUUCUUAUUCUUCUUGUUUUACUUUCUCAUCAAAUUAAACCCUAUUUUCUAAUUGAUUUUAUCAAUUUCUUUUGCUAUUGUCUUUCAAAAUAACACCUAAUCACACAAUUUCCUUAACGAAUGAGCACUUUAAUUUGCUGGAAGGUCAUAUUUGUUGCUUCUGAAAUUUAUUAAUAUGCCUUCGAAAUCGAAAUUUGCUUGAAGUCCAGAUCUGAUCCUAAAGAAGAUGAAGUUGCUGGAAAUCCUCCUAUUUAUUAUUGCUUUAUUUGAAUGAGAUUUACUGAUUUUUUGUAUACAUUUAUUUUUUUUAAUUCUUUUGCUGAUAUUGUUAGCUGUAAUAUUUUUGAUUCAAAGUUGUAAUUUUAUUUCAUGUGGAUAUUUUAAUUGUAAAGAUCUUCAUCUCUUUAAAUAUGAAUUUGUUCUUUCUGUUU